AUGUUCGUGUGUUCCUCAUGUGACCAUGGUGGACAUGAAGAUGGAGCAAAACCUCCUCUCCGGGAACAAAGAGACCCAGACCCCAGCUGGCUUCCUGGGAGCUGGUACCAACCUGAAGCAGCAGCAGCAGCCCAUCGAGGUUCUCCAGAUCCAUACAUUAUGUAUGCCACACCAGCACCCCCCACCCCCUCUGAAUAUGCCUGGCCUCCCAGAAUUUGGCAGCAGGAGCUCAUGAACGAUCGCAGUAGGGGCCCCAGUCGCUCUUCCAUUUGCACCUGGGGCCAUUCCACAGAGGAAGCAGGAUCCUUGGAGCCCCCCCUGCCACUCAUGUCCAAUAUAAACUUCGAGCCAUUCAAUCCAACCCAGUAUCGAGUCCAACACAUGGCUGGUCCAGAUUCAAUCCUGAGAAUAGGUCUGAGACAGAACACGGGCUACCUACCAGCACCCAUUCACAGGAACCAUUAUUAUAACAAUCCUGAGAACCUUGCAGGUCCACUUCAGGAGACGCCACCCCAGAAUCAUCCUCAAAGUAGACGUCCUUCUCAAGUAGCUCCAAACACCCGCCAUGGAGUUGCUCCUCAGUGUGCACCACUUCCUGGAGACGUAAUGCAUGAAGUCAGCGUGAACAGCUCCAGCCUGGCAAGUCCAGGAGCAGCCACCAAGGAGGUCAAGAGGACUAUUAGUCUGCCCGAGGAGAGCAGUAAGCCACACCCAGGCCAGACAUGCUUGUCAUGA
This 735-nucleotide long non-coding RNA is filed under the name Nothobranchius furzeri (turquoise killifish). Its description in RNAcentral is "lncRNA (ENSNFUG00015017997.1)". The record is from RNAcentral. Lineage: Eukaryota; Metazoa; Chordata; Actinopteri; Cyprinodontiformes; Nothobranchiidae.